AGUCGAACGAGAGGACAUGGGAAGCUUGCUUCCUAUGAAAUCGAGUGGCAAACGGGUGAGUAACGCGUAAACAACCUGCCCUUCGGAUGGGGAUAACAGCCGGAAACGGCUGCUAAUACCGAAUACGAUCUUUUCGUCGCAUGACGAAAAGAAGAAAGGAUGGCCUCUAUACAAAGCUAUCGCCGAAGGAGGGGUUUGCGUCUGAUUAGCUGGUUGGAGGGGUAACGGCCCAACAAGGCGAUGAUCAGUAGCCGGUCUGAGAGGAUGAACGGCCACAUUGGGACUGAGACACGGCCCAGACUCCUACGGGAGGCAGCAGUGGGGAAUCUUCCGCAAUGGACGAAAGUCUGACGGAGCAACGCCGCGUGAGUGAAGAAGGUCUUCGGAUUGUAAAGCUCUGUUAUACGGGACGAAAAAGACGGAUGCCAACAGUAUCCGUCCGUGACGGUACCGUAAGAGAAAGCCACGGCUAACUACGUGCCAGCAGCCGCGGUAAUACGUAGGUGGCAAGCGUUGUCCGGAAUUAUUGGGCGUAAAGGGCGCGCAGGCGGUUCGGUAAGUCUGUCUUAAAAGUGCGGGGCUUAACCCCGUGAGGGGACGGAAACUGUCGAACUUGAGUGUCGGAGAGGAAAGCGGAAUUCCUAGUGUAGCGGUGAAAUGCGUAGAUAUUAGGAGGAACACCGGUGGCGAAAGCGGCUUUCUGGACGAC
RNAcentral lists this ribosomal RNA (709 nucleotides) under uncultured bacterium. Its description in RNAcentral is "bacterial SSU rRNA". It matches the Rfam family "Bacterial small subunit ribosomal RNA", at positions 60 to 737 of the family's 1533-position model. The record is from RNAcentral.